RNAcentral lists this ribosomal RNA (440 nucleotides) under uncultured bacterium. RNAcentral's name for it is "partial 16S ribosomal RNA". It matches the Rfam family "Bacterial small subunit ribosomal RNA", at positions 338 to 795 of the family's 1533-position model. The record is from RNAcentral.
CCUACGGGAGGCAGCAGUAGGGAAUAUUGCUCAAUGGGGGAAACCCUGAUGCAGCAACGCCGCGUGAGUGAAGAAGGCUUUCGGUAUGUAAAACCCUAUCAGCAGGGAAGAAAAUGACGGUACCUGACUAACAAGCACCGGCUAACUACGUGCCAGCAGCCGCGGUAAUACGCAGGGAGCAAGCGUUAUCCGGAUUUACUGGGCGUAAAGGGAGCGUAGACGGGAGAGCAAGUCUGAAGUGAAAUCCCAUGGCUUAACCAUAGAACUGCUUUGGAAACUGUUCAGCUGGAGUGCAGGAGAGGUAUGCGGAAUGCGUAGUGUAGCGGUGAAAUGCGUAGAUAUCAAGAGGAACACCAGUGGCGAAGGCGGCUUACCGGACCGUAACUGACGCUGAUGCGCGAAAGCGUGGGGAGCAAACAGGAUUAGAUACCCGAGUAGUC